This 915-nucleotide long non-coding RNA is filed under the name Salvia miltiorrhiza (redroot sage). RNAcentral describes it as "long non-coding RNA (SMIL_LNC005654)". Lineage: Eukaryota; Viridiplantae; Streptophyta; Magnoliopsida; Lamiales; Lamiaceae. The record is from RNAcentral.
AGGGAUGUCAAUCGGGCCAGCCCAUCGGGUUUUCGGGCUAGCCCUAUCGGGUUCCGGGUUAAUCGGGUGCGGGCUAAUCGGGUUGGAGGUUUUUUCGGGUUGUAAAUCUCCAACCCUAACCCUAAACGUUCGGGUUUCGGGCUAGCCCAUCGGGUUGGAGGUUUUAAAGGUGUAAAAAUAAAAUUAUUAUUUGUAUUACAUUAUUCCUAAUGAUCUAAUGUAUAAUGUAUAAAAUAUACAUAAAUAUUAAAUAUAUAAAGUCUAAAUGUUUGAGUAACACUCUUCUUCAACGUUAAUAACAUUCGGUGCUCCAACUUGAUCCAUGUUUUCUUGCUCAUCAUCUUCACCAUCUAUUAAAAGAAAAUAAUAUAAUUAAAGCAUAAUAUAGUUCGUUUUCAUGAUAGGGAAUUCAAAAUGGUGAACAGACCUAAGUGGAAUUACAGUUAACCUCUAGUUCCAACAGCAUCACUUGAAUUCAAAUCUAAAGUAAUCGAGAUGACUAAGAUGAGUUAUAAACAAGCUGUACAUGAGAGAAAAUUGAUGAAAGCAAUCUACAACAGCCACAUAGAAAACAGAGAUGACAUAUAUAUUCCUUAGUUUCUAUGACCUUUUAUGAAGCAGUUGAUAUUGGUGGACCUGAAACAUAACCAUCCAUACAAAAUGAUGGGCCAGAACGAGGAGAAAGAGACAAAGCCACACAAAAAGAGAAACACUCAGUAAAUUAAAACAUCUGAUUCCAUUAAGUCCAAAGAAUCUCUCUAAACCAUUAAAACCAGAAGCAAUAACCGUGUAACUAUCCCAUAAAAGCAGGUGCAGAAUUCAAACAAGAAAAACACAAUAGAACCAAAGGUAAAAUUAGUACCCAGAUCUACGAAAUUCAAGACAGCGAUCCUCCAAAUCUUUCACGAACACCAA